UUGCCAGGUUUCUUGAGUGGGGAACGGGUGAGUUACCAGUGGGUGAUUUUGCCCUGUACUUCGGGAUAAGCUUGGGAACUGGGUCUAUUACCGGAUAGGACCGUUUUUUAGUGUAGGCGGUGGAAAGAUUUCGGUCGGUAGGGGAUGAGCUUGCGGCCUUUCAGCUUGUUGGUGGGGUAAUGGCCUUCCAAGGCGUUCGACGGGUAGCCGGCCUGAGAGGGUGUACGGCCACAUUGGGACUGAGAUACGGCCCAGACUCCUACGGGAGGCAGCAGUGGGGAAUAUUGCACAAUGGGCGAAAGCCUGAUGCAGCAACGCCGCGUGAGCGAUGAAGGCCUUCGGGUCGUAAAGCUCUGUCCUCAAGGAAGAUAAUGACGGUACUUGAGGAGGAAGCCCCGGCUAACUACGUGCCAGCAGCCGCGGUAAUACGUAGGGGGCUAGCGUUAUCCGGAAUUACUGGGCGUAAAGGGUGCGUAGGUGGUUUCUUAAGUCAGAGGUGAAAGGCUACGGCUCAACCGUAGUAAGCCUUUGAAACUGGGAAACUUGAGUGCAGGAGAGGAGAGUGGAAUUCCUAGUGUAGCGGUGAAAUGCGUAGAUAUUAGGAGGAACACCAGUUGCGAAGGCGGCUCUCUGGACUGUAACUGACACUGAGGCACGAAAGCGUGGGGAGCAAACAGGAUUAGAUACCCUGGUAGUCCACGCCGUAAACGAUGAGUACUAGCUGUCGGAGGUUACCCCCUUCGGUGGCGCAGCUAACGCA
RNAcentral lists this ribosomal RNA (760 nucleotides) under uncultured bacterium. RNAcentral's name for it is "bacterial SSU rRNA". It matches the Rfam family "Bacterial small subunit ribosomal RNA", at positions 79 to 859 of the family's 1533-position model. The record is from RNAcentral.